UGAUUUUAGGUACACGUUGUUUGGUACACUC
This 31-nucleotide non-coding RNA is filed under the name Mus musculus (house mouse). Lineage: Eukaryota; Metazoa; Chordata; Mammalia; Rodentia; Muridae. The record is from RNAcentral.